GACGAAGGUGGCGAGCGUUGUUCGGAAUCACUGGGCAUAAAGCGCACGUAGGCGGUGCCGUACGUCAGAUGUGAAAUCCCUCGGCCUAACCGAGGAACUGCGUCUGAUACUGCGGUGCUUGAGGAUCAGAGGGGUGCAUGGAAUUUCCGGUGGAGCGGUGAAAUGCGUUGAUAUCGGAAGGAACUCCGGCGGCGAAAGCGAUGCACUGGCUGAUUUCUGACGCUGAGGUGCGAAAGCCAGGGGAGCAAACGGG
This 253-nucleotide ribosomal RNA is filed under the name uncultured bacterium. Its description in RNAcentral is "partial 16S ribosomal RNA". It matches the Rfam family "Bacterial small subunit ribosomal RNA", at positions 524 to 776 of the family's 1533-position model. The record is from RNAcentral.